GCCGGAGUGGCGGAAUUGGUAGACGCGCUAGAUUCAGGUUCUAGUACUCGCAAGGGUGUGCUGGUUCGAUUCCAGUCUUCGGCACCA
Molecule: transfer RNA, 87 nt
Filed under: Geobacter sp.
Lineage: Bacteria; Pseudomonadati; Thermodesulfobacteriota; Desulfuromonadia; Geobacterales; Geobacteraceae
Also listed under: 10 other names
Description: tRNA-Leu
Rfam family: tRNA
About the family: Transfer RNA (tRNA) molecules are approximately 80 nucleotides in length. Their secondary structure includes four short double-helical elements and three loops (D, anti-codon, and T loops).
Source: RNAcentral